Molecule: ribosomal RNA, 487 nt
Filed under: uncultured bacterium
Lineage: Bacteria
Description: bacterial SSU rRNA
Rfam family: Bacterial small subunit ribosomal RNA
Source: RNAcentral
GAACGCUGGCGGCAGGCCUAACACAUGCAAGUCGAACGGUAACAGGAAGAAGCUUGCUUCUUUGCUGACGAGUGGCGGACGGGUGAGUAAUGUCUGGGAAACUGCCUGAUGGAGGGGGAUAACUACUGGAAACGGUAGCUAAUACCGCAUAACGUCGCAAGACCAAAGAGGGGGACCUUCGGGCCUCUUGCCAUCGGAUGUGCCCAGAUGGGAUUAGCUAGUAGGUGGGGUAACGGCUCACCUAGGCGACGAUCCCUAGCUGGUCUGAGAGGAUGACCAGCCACACUGGAACUGAGACACGGUCCAGACUCCUACGGGAGGCAGCAGUGGGGAAUAUUGCACAAUGGGCGCAAGCCUGAUGCAGCCAUGCCGCGUGUAUGAAGAAGGCCUUCGGGUUGUAAAGUACUUUCAGCGGGGAGGAAGGGAGUAAAGUUAAUACCUUUGCUCAUUGACGUUACCCGCAGAAGAAGCACCGGCUAACUCCGUG